GCCCGUCACACCAUGGGAGUGGGUUGCUCCAGAAGUAGCUAGUCUAACCGCAAGGGGGACGGUUACCACGGAGUGAUUCAUGACUGGGGUGAAGUCGUAACAAGGUAGCCGUAGGGGAACCUGCGGCUGGAUCACCUCCUUAAUCGAAGAUCUCAGCUUCUUCAUAAGCUCCCACACGAAUUGCUUGAUUCACUGGUUAGACGAUUGGGUCUGUAGCUCAGUUGGUUAGAGCGCACCCCUGAUAAGGGUGAGGUCGGCAGUUCGAAUCUGCCCAGACCCACCAAUUGUUGGUGUGCUGCGUGAUCCGAUACGGGGCCAUAGCUCAGCUGGGAGAGCGCCUGCUUUGCACGCAGGAGGUCAGGAGUUCGAUCCUCCUUGGCUCCACCAUCUAAAACAAUCGUCGAAAGCUCAGAAAUGAAUGUUCGUGAAUGAACAUUGAUUUCUGGUCUUUGCACCAGAACUGUUCUUUAAAAAUUCGGGUAUGUGAUAGAAGUAAGACUGAAUGAUCUCUUUCACUGGUGAUCAUUCAAGUCAAGGUAAAAUUUGCGAGUUCAAGCGCGAAUUUUCGGCGAAUGUCGUCUUCACAGUAUAACCAGAUUGCUUGGGGUUAUAUGGUCAAGUGAAGAAGCGCAUACGGUGGAUGCCUUGGCCCCAGAGGCG
RNAcentral lists this unclassified non-coding RNA (660 nucleotides) under Pseudomonas aeruginosa. Its description in RNAcentral is "partial contains 16S ribosomal RNA, 16S-23S ribosomal RNA intergenic spacer, and 23S ribosomal RNA". The stretch from base 1 to 142 matches the Rfam family "Bacterial small subunit ribosomal RNA", at positions 1392 to 1533 of the family's 1533-position model. The record is from RNAcentral. Lineage: Bacteria; Pseudomonadati; Pseudomonadota; Gammaproteobacteria; Pseudomonadales; Pseudomonadaceae.